UACGUAGGGGGCGAGCGUUGUCCGGAUUUAUUGGGCGUAAAGAGCGUGUAGGCGGUCCGGUAAGUCGGUUGUGAAAGUCCAGGGCUCAACCCUGGGAUGCCGACCGAUACUGUCGGACUAGAGUUCGGAAGAGGCGAGUGGAAUUCCCGGUGUAGCGGUGAAAUGCGCAGAUAUCGGGAGGAACACCUAUGGCGAAGGCAGCUCGCUGGGACGUUACUGACGCUGAGACGCGAAAGCGUGGGGAGCAAACAGG
This 253-nucleotide ribosomal RNA is filed under the name uncultured bacterium. RNAcentral's name for it is "partial 16S ribosomal RNA". It matches the Rfam family "Bacterial small subunit ribosomal RNA", at positions 524 to 776 of the family's 1533-position model. The record is from RNAcentral.